This 253-nucleotide ribosomal RNA is filed under the name uncultured bacterium. Its description in RNAcentral is "partial 16S ribosomal RNA". It matches the Rfam family "Bacterial small subunit ribosomal RNA", at positions 524 to 776 of the family's 1533-position model. The record is from RNAcentral.
UACAGAGGGUGCAAGCGUUAAUCGGAAUUACUGGGCGUAAAGCGUGCGUAGACGGUUACAUAAGUCGGGUGUGAAAGCCCCGGGCUCAACCUGGGAAUUGCAUUCGAGACUGCGUAGCUAGGGUGCGGAAGAGGGAAGCGGAAUUUCCGGUGUAGCGGUGAAAUGCGUAGAUAUCGGAAGGAACACCAGUGGCGAAGGCGAGUCCCUGGACAACACCUGACACUGAGGCACGAAAGCUAGGGGAGCAAACAGG